GGACCCCUACGGGAGGCAGCAGUGAGGAAUAUUGGUCAAUGGGCUUACGCCUGAACCAGCCAAGUCGCGUGAGGGAAGACUGCCCUAUGGGUUGUAAACUUCUUUUGUCAGGGAGCAAUUGGGUCCACGCGUGGGCUUAGCGAGAGUACCUGAAGAAAAAGCAUCGGCUAACUCCGUGCCAGCAGCCGCGGUAAUACGGAGGAUGCGAGCGUUAUCCGGAUUUAUUGGGUUUAAAGGGUGCGUAGGCGGAAUAUCAAGUCAGCGGUAAAAAUUCGGGGCUCAACCCCGUCGUGCCGUUGAAACUG
Molecule: ribosomal RNA, 305 nt
Filed under: uncultured bacterium
Lineage: Bacteria
Description: bacterial SSU rRNA
Rfam family: Bacterial small subunit ribosomal RNA
Source: RNAcentral